This 72-nucleotide transfer RNA is filed under the name Camelus dromedarius (Arabian camel). It matches the Rfam family "tRNA". Rfam says of the family: Transfer RNA (tRNA) molecules are approximately 80 nucleotides in length. Their secondary structure includes four short double-helical elements and three loops (D, anti-codon, and T loops). The record is from Rfam by way of RNAcentral. Lineage: Eukaryota; Metazoa; Chordata; Mammalia; Artiodactyla; Camelidae. RNAcentral also lists the same sequence under 1 other name.
GGAGAUAUAGCUCAGUGGUAGAGUGCAUGGUUAGCAUGCAUGAGGUCCUGGGUUCAAUCCCCAGUACCUCCA